RNAcentral lists this transfer RNA (88 nucleotides) under Alphaproteobacteria bacterium. RNAcentral's name for it is "tRNA-Ser". It matches the Rfam family "tRNA". From Rfam's summary of the family: Transfer RNA (tRNA) molecules are approximately 80 nucleotides in length. RNAcentral also lists the same sequence under 1 other name. The record is from RNAcentral. Lineage: Bacteria; Pseudomonadati; Pseudomonadota; Alphaproteobacteria.
GGAGGGUUGGCAGAGCGGUAAUGCAGCGGAUUGCUAAUCCGUGACCGGUAAUACUGGUCCACAGGUUCGAGUCCUGUACCCUCCGCCA